CUCCCGUUAGCUUAACGGUAUAGCAGUCCUCUUUAUACCGAGCCAACACCUCGAGCGCUUCGAUGCAGGAGAGCAGGAUCAAUAAGUGGUAGGACGGAGCCUGGUUCGACUCCAGGGCGGGAGA
Molecule: non-coding RNA, 124 nt
Organism: Kwoniella heveanensis BCC8398
Lineage: Eukaryota; Fungi; Basidiomycota; Tremellomycetes; Tremellales; Cryptococcaceae
Source: the annotation of a GenBank genome assembly